This is a non-coding RNA of Acanthosepion pharaonis, 94 nucleotides long. NCBI's taxonomy places the organism in Eukaryota, Metazoa, Mollusca, Cephalopoda, Sepiida, Sepiidae. The record is from the annotation of a GenBank genome assembly.
UCACUGAAACACUGGUUCUCAUAUGAUCACUGAAGCAACACUGAGCCUGGUCAGUACCUAGAUGGGGGACCAUUUGGGAAUACCAGGUGCAGUA